CGUCAUCAUCUGUGUGUCCAGCGGCGCAGAUUCGACACAUGCGUCAAACUUCACAAUCAAAACAGACAAAAAAACAAAUAAUGGCGGAAAUGAUUACAUUGAGAUAUGGCCUGGUGUGGAUUCUUUGGACCUUUUCCCAGACGUAUCAUCCAGACUAGACGCCAAAGGAAUCGGUCGAUGGCGAUGGCCAGCAGGGACAGUAUGGAGCUUUGGGUGAUGAUGACGAGAAGGCACGAAAUGAAGAGGCAAGUGUAAAACUGUGUGGUGAGACCCAGGCUGAUGACCACCGCCAGCGGGAUGACAAGAACGCCGACCGCUAUAUCGGCCAGCGCCAGAGAGACAAUAAAGCAGAAGGUCGGGUCUCUGAAACCCUGGUUCAUGCACACCACCAAGACCACCAGCACGUUCCCAAGCACUGAUGCCAGGGCGAUAGUGCUCUCAAUGGAGAUGUACAUCAGGUCCGUUUUCUCCCAACUCUCAGUUACUGUGACCGUUGACAUCUUGGGGAUCUGCAGCAGUUGUUCCUGUUCCAUUGGGUCUUCUACAAGAGUCUCAUGAUGUCCUCAAAUGCUGAGCUCGGAUGCCAUUAUGAAAAAGAGCACUCUGCAUGGACGUUCCUCUAAACAUCAUAUUUCACAGAAGAAUAAAUCCAUAUGGGUUUGGAUUGACAUUGAGCUAACACCCCCACCCCAGAGUGCACACGCCACGAACAAUCUGGGAACAAAGAGCCAUAAACCAACACGAAGAGGUUGGACUUCUUCAAGGUCAAAGACCUUUAAACUUUCGUUUGAAAGUCUGCGCGCCUCAAACCACCACAAACCACAACCUCAAACUUAACACAAAGACAACCAUAUACACUUGCAAGUAUAUUUCUUUAUCGAGCUUUCAGAGCAUUAAGAUCGUGUUUUUCCGUGUUAUCUUGUUAAAUGUUUGCAUAUAUAUACCCCAUGUAACGUUAGUAACUGUAUUUAGUCUGCCUUUAUUAAAUUCAUUGCAUUCAUUAAUUGAUUCAUGUCUCUUGCUCAUAUACAAGUCACUUUAAUGUUGCGAUCCCACACGCUUUAAAAGUAUAAAAGUACUUUAAUCCGUUUUAAUUAUGUAUUGAUAUACAAUUGAGCUCAUAUUUACAGGUCUGUUUAACGUGGUCUAUGCAAUUACUUACAAUCAAUUUGUGGUUUAUUGUCGAGGUACACAUGAAUGCAGAUGCACACUCUAAAAAAAU
Non-coding RNA from Pimephales promelas (fathead minnow), 1222 nucleotides. The record is from RefSeq and is a predicted model, not a curated record. Lineage: Eukaryota; Metazoa; Chordata; Actinopteri; Cypriniformes; Leuciscidae.